This 513-nucleotide ribosomal RNA is filed under the name uncultured bacterium. RNAcentral's name for it is "bacterial SSU rRNA". It matches the Rfam family "Bacterial small subunit ribosomal RNA", at positions 32 to 521 of the family's 1533-position model. The record is from RNAcentral.
AAUCAACGCUGGCGGCGUGCCUCAGACAUGCAAGUCGAACGCGAAAGUUUCCUUCGGGAAGCGAGUAGAGUGGCGUCCGGGUGAGUAACACGUAGGUAAUCUACCUUUGGGUGGGGAAUAACAACCGGAAACGGUUGCUAAUACCGCAUAAUGCAGCGGCACCACAUGGUGACAGUUGUUAAAGCGGGGGAUCGCAAGACCUCGCGCCUAAAGAGGAGCCUGCGGCGGAUUAGCUAGNGGUAAGGUAACGGCUUACCAAGGCAACGAUCCGUAGCCGGCCUGAGAGGGCGGUCGGCCACACUGACACUGAAAUACGGGUCAGACUCCUACGGGAGGCAGCAGUCGGGAAUUUUGGGCAAUGGGCGAAAGCCUGACCCAGCAACGCCGCGUGAAGGAUGAAAUCCCUCGGGAUGUAAACUUCGCAAGAACAGGAAGAAUAAGUAGGGGACAAUACCCCCUAUGAUGACGGUACUGUUUGUAAGCUCCGGCUAACUCCGUGCCAGCCGCCGCCGU